RNAcentral lists this long non-coding RNA (1465 nucleotides) under Microcebus murinus (gray mouse lemur). Its description in RNAcentral is "lncRNA (ENSMICG00000048478.1)". Lineage: Eukaryota; Metazoa; Chordata; Mammalia; Primates; Cheirogaleidae. The record is from RNAcentral.
AUUUGAAUGUGCAAAUGAGAUUCCCUUGGGUUUCUUUUAAAUGUCUUCAUACUGUUUUCCUAAGUAUAGUCAAGUAAAAGGUGAUAAAAGCUCAGACAACAGAACAAAGGAACCAGGCUGAUUUUGUGCAUACAUUGUAAGGAAUAAACUGCAGGGUUUUUACUGCCCUCUUUCUAAAGAAAGCCCAUUUCAGGAGUCAGGAUGGGUUCGUCCUAGUUUGCAUUUAGAUUUUAUUUUAUUAAUUAUUUGGAUUUUAAAAGGGAACAGCACCCAAAAUCCAAGUUUUGUCAAUAAGUACAGGCAACCAAAUUCUCUUUAAAGUUUUAUCUUUCUUUAAUUUUUUAUAGAGAUGGGAUCUCACAAUGUUGCCCAGGUUGGUCUCAAACUCCUAGCUUCAAGUGAUCGACCUGCCUCAGCCUCCCAAAGUGCUGUGAUACAGACAUGAGCCACACCAUGCCUGGUCGAGGAUGCCAAAUUUACACACCUAAGGCAUUGUGGAAGAAAAAGGACAACGGAGGUGGAGCCAGCAGACAUGCAGCUAAGGCUUCUCAUCGCUGGGAAGCCAGGCAGGAGUUACGUAGAUCCAUUUGCACAAGGAAACUUGCUUAAUGGACUCAGAGGUUUUCUGAGAGUUCUUUCAAAAAGCCCCACUUCAUACCAAAGUACAAGCCAUAUGCAUUUUAUCACGGACGUUGCCUUGAAUAAUGUCCUGAAAGGAAGAACAACAAAUCCUCUGGAUUUGGGAGCAGCUGGACGCCGGAGUUCCUUCUUGUACAAUAAUACACUCAACAUUUAUCAGUCAACUGCAUUUAUUAAUCACCCACUGUGUGUUCAGCGUCUGGUGCUAUGGAGCCUUGGCGAGAAAGACAUUCACGGACUUCAUAGUGUAAUGGAGGAGAAGAAGAAACACAAAUGUGUACAUGUAAACAAGCAGGCCUGGAGAUGUUUAAACACACACACGCAAUCCUGAGCAUCUGUACAAAGACGCAGGUGGAAAAGACAAAAGCAGAAAACAGUGAUCAGACAGGUUGAAUGAUCCAAUGGAAAUUUAAUCUGAUCUCAGCCAUGUGUAAGAAGCAACCUCAUGUGAACUGGAAUUGUAACGCUGGGAAUUAUCUGAUUCCUGCUGGCCUCUUGUCCUUCUCUGCCCUGUAAAUGACUGCUAAGGAAUUUUAAGGCAUGUAAAAUAUGAUAAACAUAGAUUUGUUGACUCAGCCAUUGAACUGGACAUCUCACCUUUUUGCAGGUAAAACUAAAGAGGGGAAUCAUAGAUUGUGGAUUUUAUUUAUAAGGGGAAUGCAUGUAAGUUUAUUCAUGUAAGGUGCUCUUUGAUGCAGUAAUAUCUUAUUUUCCUUUAAACUGGACUUCCAGCUUUGAAUCCAGAUGUAAACGUUGGACAUAACAAAUCAACAACCAAAACAAAGGAAUCUCUGUUAACAAAACAUCUUAGUUGCAAAGACUGAUG